GUGGGGAAUCUUAGACAAUGGGCGCAAGCCUGAUCUAGCCAUGCCGCGUGAGCGAUGAAGGCCUUAGGGUUGUAAAGCUCUUUCAGUGGGGAAGAUAAUGACUGUACCCACAGAAGAAGCCCCGGCUAACUCCGUGCCAGCAGCCGCGGUAAUACGGAGGGGGCUAGCGUUGUUCGGAAUUACUGGGCGUAAAGCGCACGUAGGCGGACUGGAAUGUCAGGGGUGAAAUCCCGGGGCUCAACCCCGGAACUGCCUUUGAAACUCCCAUUAUUGAGGUCGAGAGAGGUGAGUGGAAUUCCGAGUGUAGAGGUGAAAUUCGUAGAUAUUCGGAGGAACACCAGUGGCGAAGGCGGCUCACUGGCUCGAUACUGACGCUGAGGUGCGAAAGCGUGGGGAGCAAACAGGAUUAGAAACCCGAGUAGUCC
This 425-nucleotide ribosomal RNA is filed under the name uncultured bacterium. RNAcentral's name for it is "partial 16S ribosomal RNA". It matches the Rfam family "Bacterial small subunit ribosomal RNA", at positions 354 to 796 of the family's 1533-position model. The record is from RNAcentral.